GACGAACGCUGGCGGCGUGCCUAACACAUGCAAGUCGAACGGGGAGUUAGCAAUAACUCCUAGUGGCGAACGGGUGAGUAACGCGUAGACAACCUGCCUCUAAACUGGGGACAACACCGCGAAAGUGGUGCUAAUACCGAAUGUGGUAACUUGAUCGCAUGAUCGAGUUAAGAAAGAUGGCCUCUAUUUAUAAGCUAUCGAUUAGAGAUGGGUCUGCGUCUGAUUAGCUAGUUGGUGAGGUAAUGGCUCACCAAGGCGACGAUCAGUAGCCGGUCUGAGAGGAUGAACGGCCACACUGGGACUGAGACACGGCCCAGACUCCUACGGGAGGCAGCAGUGGGGAAUCUUCCGCAAUGGACGAAAGUCUGACGGAGCAACGCCGCGUGAGUGAAGAAGGUCUUCGGAUUGUAAAGCUCUGUCGUUUGGGACGAACGUGGGUAGUGUGAAUAAUGCUAUCUAAUGACGGUACCAAAGGAGGAAGCCACGGCUAACUACGUGCCAGCAGCCGCGGUAA
RNAcentral lists this ribosomal RNA (514 nucleotides) under uncultured bacterium. RNAcentral describes it as "partial 16S ribosomal RNA". It matches the Rfam family "Bacterial small subunit ribosomal RNA", at positions 28 to 523 of the family's 1533-position model. The record is from RNAcentral.